AGGCUGGGCAGAAAGUAGGGUCGGGAGAGUGAGUCACAGGUUCCUGCCCGCCGCUAAGGGAUCCGUCGGGGCGGGGCCCGGGAUCCUGGGAGUGGGAGCUGGUUCUGAAAGUAAGGUCAGGAAAAUGUUCCUGUACACGCACCCGGAGGCUUUUGCAGGAGGCGGCUGUUGGAGAACCGGGAAAACAAGCCAAGAAACAAGAGAGAGGAAAAAGACCACGCCUCGCUUGGCAGAUUCCUAAUGGCCUAGGAGACCUGAGGCUUUACAGUGGGAGACAAAAAGAACGUUCCCAGCCCCUGCCAUGAGCCUGGACUUGCUCUGCUGGCAGGCGAAGGAAUGCAGCUCUGGCCGCCACAGCUGCUGGUGGCCAGCUGUGGCCUCAGCUCCUGCUGCUCCCACCCCAGCAGGCACAGGGACAAAGGCCUCUUCUCAGCCUGUCUCCUCCAGCCCCCUGGAUCAGUGGGGGCAGAACAUUGACCAGGAGGCUCCAUCACUGACCAGCUCAAUUGCUGUUCCUCUCUGGGCCUUAGUGCCCUUUCUGGAAAAUGGGGGCAGAGUCUCUGCCUGACUGACCUCUCAGCACCAUUUUGAGGUUCCAAGGAGUUAAAGUUACAGAAAUACAGACCUCUCAGCAUCUCUUCUGCCUGAGGGUCGGCCUACUCAGAGACCCUCCUGCCUCCAAUGCCCCUCCCUCCCUCCCACUUCACCUGGCUAGCCCCAGCUCCCUCAGCUCAGCUCAGCUCAGCUCAGCUCAGCGGGACCAUCCCUUACCCUGGGGAGCCCUCCCUCACCUUCAGACCAUGCUGUUCCUUCAACGUAUUUAUCACUGUUAUAAUUAAAUAAUUAAUUGUGUAAUUGGA
Molecule: long non-coding RNA, 860 nt
Organism: Camelus dromedarius (Arabian camel)
Lineage: Eukaryota; Metazoa; Chordata; Mammalia; Artiodactyla; Camelidae
Exons: 3
Source: RefSeq, a predicted model, not a curated record